Molecule: long non-coding RNA, 1009 nt
Organism: Teleopsis dalmanni
Lineage: Eukaryota; Metazoa; Arthropoda; Insecta; Diptera; Diopsidae
Exons: 8
Source: RefSeq, a predicted model, not a curated record
AUGAAAUGUCGUAGCAAUUCGUAUAAUUUGGCACAAAAUUCAAAUAAUAAAACUUCAUGGCUUCAAAAUUUUAAAAAUGAAAACAAGGACCACAAAAGUGAAUUUGCCAAGUUUAAAAUGCACAAAUUUACUUUUUAUUAAUGUAUGUAAUUCGUAAUGUACAGGAGUUACAAGCAAACCAAAUAGUAGGGGAGAUUCUACCAAUGACUAAUAUUUGAGAGAAUUCAAGUUAAAUGGUCCGUAUGCAGUUAAAUUACUGGAGUCAGUUUAACUGUAGCCUGGUUAAUUGGAAUGUAGCCUUUCAAUUACGUGGGGUGCUCAAUUUUUGAAUAAUCAUCACCGUCCCCUACACACUAAUAUUGGAAUCGAUAAUAAAAUCUAUAAUAAAUCAAUUUGAAGUACAAUUCCAAAACUAUCGAAAUGACUUCUAUUAUAUAACAAAAUAAAUAAAAGCUAAUCAUAAAACAAAUGUUUAUACACUUUGAGAAGAAAAUAUCAACAUCUUAUCUUUUGAUAACAAAUAGAAAUAAUGUCUUGACUGCAACUGAUCUGUCCAGAAUGUUAGUACGUUUUAGAAAUCCUAUAAAAAGGGUGCUAAAGAUAUAAAGAUAUCAGAUUAAAUAUUUGCAAGGUCUAUUCAUAAUGAUUUCGAACUGCAUCCCAUUUCGCACAGACCCCACAUAAGUACUUAUCAGAUCAUGGAAUCCAUCGUCUUGAAGAACUUCCAGUUAAUAAUGAGUUAAACGCGAUAUUUGCAUACAAAUUGGUGUAUGCAGUUACAACAUCUUCGUUGCUAACAACCUUCUUCAAUGGCAAGGAUAUUUGCUUUAACAAGUUGAAUAAGAAGUAAGACAGCAAAAAUCUGAACCGCACUUGAAGACAAAACGCGAAAGACUAUUCAUGGACCGACACAUUAGUGUACAUUCGAUAUUUACGGAUAUACUAUUGUAUGUGUGAGAAUGUAAAUGAUUUUUAUUGCAAUUUGAGACAAUUAUUUCGAAAUAUGAAG